AGAGAACCGCCGGCGCAAGCCGGUUCUACCCACACACACCUGUGAACCGUAUUUAGGACGCGGACUAGCCUCCGGGCGAAACCGUCCGACCCUUACAAAACGUCUUAUAAUGUCAUGAACGUAGUCUUAUUUUAACAAAUA
This 141-nucleotide unclassified non-coding RNA is filed under the name uncultured Tremellales. Its description in RNAcentral is "sequence contains ITS1". The record is from RNAcentral. Lineage: Eukaryota; Fungi; Basidiomycota; Tremellomycetes; Tremellales.